Molecule: unclassified non-coding RNA, 199 nt
Filed under: uncultured Endogonomycetes
Lineage: Eukaryota; Fungi; Mucoromycota; Endogonomycetes
Description: sequence contains ITS2
Source: RNAcentral
UGAACCACUCAAAAUCGUCUUGCGAUUUUGGACGUUGGGCUUUAUUGUUGUGCGAAUACACAACUGGCCUGAAAUUGGUUACAAAAUAAAUGCAAGAAAUGUGUAGCUGCCUUUGUUGCAUAAGACGAAAAGCUAAUUAGUUGACCGUGGUCAAACUUGCUGACUAGUCUUUGAAAACUAAAGCAGAUCUACAUUUACA